Rhinopithecus roxellana (golden snub-nosed monkey) is the source of this 702-nucleotide long non-coding RNA. RefSeq lists it as uncharacterized. The record is from RefSeq and is a predicted model, not a curated record. The transcript has 3 exons. NCBI's taxonomy places the organism in Eukaryota, Metazoa, Chordata, Mammalia, Primates, Cercopithecidae.
GGGGAACCCCAAUGCCCGCAGCUAGGGACCACAGGAAUGAGGUGCUCUGGUCCCUACGGGCUUCACGUGAUAGGAGAUAAACGCUCCUCUCAGCGGACUCCCCCAGCGGGAUCCAAAACACUCUCACUCUCCACAGAAGACCCUGGACCUUGCUAAGUGCUGCAGGGAUAUGGAGGAAACCUGCCGGUGGGCUGGGGAGACCGGCAGGCCCCGCCCACUCCUGAGCAUCAACCACACCUGCCAGUGACCAGCGCCACCCAGAAGCCAUCAGUCAACACCAGUGCACAGAAAGAGCGCCACGGAGAUCCUGAGGAUUUCGGGAGUUGUAUGUUACAAAACAAGGACAAAGACCAAAUAGCUCAGCCUGGACCGUCAUGCCAAGCUCCAACUCCCACCCGCCAACCCCACACUCCUGUCUCAGCCAUAUGGAUAAACUGCACGAGGAAGUCAGCCUGAGGCACGAGAGCAGCCGAGGGAAGAGGGAGAAGUCCUGCCGCCUGCUCAGCGGUUUCGAGUGGCCCAGCCCCCGGUGUCACCUGGCAGCCUUAGCGGCACACUUCACCGACACUGUCUCCUCUCCAGCUCACAGCUGCCCCGUCCCACCCACUCUACCCCAAGAAAGGGGGCUUGUCAGGCAGGAGCUUCCCAGCUCUCUGUAUUCCCACCACAGACCAAGGCCCCCCUCAGUCCUGGCUCUCACCU